This 157-nucleotide ribosomal RNA is filed under the name Colletotrichum acutatum. RNAcentral describes it as "5.8S ribosomal RNA". It matches the Rfam family "5.8S ribosomal RNA". Rfam says of the family: 5.8S ribosomal RNA (5.8S rRNA) is a component of the large subunit of the eukaryotic ribosome. The record is from RNAcentral. Lineage: Eukaryota; Fungi; Ascomycota; Sordariomycetes; Glomerellales; Glomerellaceae.
AAACUUUUAACAACGGAUCUCUUGGUUCUGGCAUCGAUGAAGAACGCAGCGAAAUGCGAUAAGUAAUGUGAAUUGCAGAAUUCAGUGAAUCAUCGAAUCUUUGAACGCACAUUGCGCCCGCCAGCAUUCUGGCGAGCAUGCCUGUUCGAGCGUCAUU